Molecule: non-coding RNA, 1272 nt
Organism: Python bivittatus (Burmese python)
Lineage: Eukaryota; Metazoa; Chordata; Lepidosauria; Squamata; Pythonidae
Source: RefSeq, a predicted model, not a curated record
AAAAGGCGCUUCGGUCAGUGACGACGCCACCUGCAGGAAAGCGCGUUCGGCGGGGCAGAAAGCGGAGCUGCAACGGGGAGGGCGUGGAGGCGGCUGCUUCUGUAAGUUUCUGUAUCCUGAAUCAGAAACCUGAAGGGGAAGGAGAAGCUGUGGUCGUAGUUGCACGGACAGGCAUACUCUUCUGACUCUUGGCAUUUCCCAAGAUACGCUGUCCCUAUAAGGCUUUUAAAAAUAAAUGAAGAAAACGCUGUUCGUAAGCUGCAAUCCUGUUGGAAGCAAAUCUUUUUUAAAAGCAGUACGUAUUUCCCAUUGUUGGAGAAACGAUUUGCUGUCCGGGCAAAGGGUUGCACCACCUUCUGAGUGUCUUAAAGAGGCAAUAAUGCCACAGUUCUAGCUCUUUUGCAAAAUGUUCCCUUGCACAUCGUUUUCUCUCCCCAAACUCUCAAAAAGUCUAAGGCCGUGUAACAAUUAAUUUUGACCGCUUGGGAACUCCACAGGAGCUGACCUGUACACCUUCCACCCAGCUGACCGGUAGCAGAGAGCUAAAAAUCAGGAAAACAGCACGAGCCGGAACCUUGCCCUUUCCACGCUGUGGUCGCGUUUGGUGAUUUUGCAAACAGUCGACACAACAGAGGACAGUGAUCGAGCUGAAAUGAUAACGUGUGACUAUGCUGCUGCCGCCGCAACUGAAUCUCCUCUGUGGAGAGGGAGGAGAGCCCAGAAGCUGAAAAGCAGCUGACGCAAGCUCUUUGGAGUGUCCAACAGAGUGCGGGACCCUGGCGAUGUCUGAUGCAUUGCAGCUAAGUUGGCAGUAAAUAAGCUCCACGACUAAGACAACAGGGAUCAGGAGGGGCAUGGAAAUGAGCCAGAAGCGGGACAAAUGGUACAAGCCUUCCCACUUUGGGCUCUCACAUUUUGAACAGUUACUUCAUUCUUUCUGGAUCUCAGAUGUCUUUGACAGAUAAUUUUCUCAUCCAGCUGCCCGUUUCUUUCCUGUCCUGUUUUUAUCAAAGGCCUUCUUGUCUGUUAUCGAAUGAAACAGGAUACCGCUGUUGGAAUGCUGGGAGCCGAUCGCAUUGAUGAAGUUGGCUGUGACUGGAACAGUAGAGGAGCACCAUUUGGGAUCUGCCUCAAGAAUUGCCUUUAUGCCUUAGACAAUUGAAAAAUGAAAGUUAUGUUGUAAACUUAAAGUAACAGUUGAAAGCAAAUUGAUACUUAUAUUUGUUGUAAAAGAAAGUUGGAAGUCAUUUUUCUUCUGUAUUUUUUUCUUUC